Molecule: long non-coding RNA, 2138 nt
Organism: Asparagus officinalis (garden asparagus)
Lineage: Eukaryota; Viridiplantae; Streptophyta; Magnoliopsida; Asparagales; Asparagaceae
Exons: 9
Source: RefSeq, a predicted model, not a curated record
GCGAGUUACUGAAAAAACUUUUCCUCCCCAAAUUAACCUUCAACCGGAACCUAUAUACCAAUCUCAUCCCUUAGAACAUCCGCAGAUAUCAAAAGCCCUAAAUAUUCCUUCGGUUCCUCCUCUCCGCCUUCUCCUCAGCCGAUUCGAUCUUCCGUUAAAAAAUUUUAAGUCCGUUAUCCUAAAUCUUCCUUAGGUUCCGCCUUCUCUCCGCCUUAUUUCAAUUCUUAUUACGUUACGCCUUCCCACGAUGUUAAGCCAUAAAUUUCCAAAGAUGAUUGUUCUUGCCCUAAUCAUAAUCUCUGCGCAUCCGUCAUCAUCUCCUCAGCUGUUUGAAAUUUGGCAUCGGUCAAGGAUUGUCCGAAUCAGUGCUUGCUUCAAUUCUUCGUAUUGUUCCUUUUUCUGUUUCAUCAGGGUUAUUAUGGGCAGUGUUAGCAACUAUGUAGUUAACAAUGGAGCAUGCCCCGUCACCGUAGUCAAGAGCGUAGAAGCACAUGAAGGCUAGAUGAUAAUUCUAAACUUUCCAAUGGUAGAGUGAAGAAGUUGCUUGCGCAAGGUGUAUCUCAAAUCGAUAUCAUGAAAAAAAAACCUUAUCAGGCAUAUUGCAUACAAUUGUAUUUAACACAGCACUGGGACUUGUUCGGCCAAAAAAUGUAGAUUGUGAACUUUUUGAAAUUACUCAUGUGAGUAAUUCUCCACCUUUAAUGUACAUGAUAUAUAGGUCAUUCUGUUGCUCAUUCCAAAGAAAUGAAUCUUGUGAACUUGUAUAAGAAAACUGGACAAAUCAACAUCUACACAUAUUUUGGUCUGCUGAAAAAAUUUUAACUGAGUUAAAUGAUCCCAUGCUUGCAAGGAAUCCCAAAAACAAAGAGAGGUAACUUUUACUUUAGAUGAAAUAUUAUCUGUUUUGCAACAAUCUGAGAAUUCUCUUCUGCAGCCACAACUGGCGCAAGCCUAGCACAAAUAGAUAUUUGUCACUGUUAUGAUUCACCUAACGUGUGUGUGAAUGAAAAGUGCAAGCUGCAAAUUCCUCUCUAUAACUCAGCUAUUAAUUUUGUUAUAAAUAUUUUCCGUACUCAGUGAAAAACUUAUGCAUUAACUAAAUAUUAGUAUAAAUACAAUUCGUGUUAAGCUAGGAAUUUAGGAACUUCAGAAAUGCAAGUGGACGUGAAGUCGGAUAUCUACCUAAGGCCUAUUUUUACAUACUAUGAAUAUCAGAAAUAUUUGAGGGUGCUUCAGCAUUGCUGCCAUUUUAUCAUUUAGCCAAACUGAUGCGUGAUUUAAGACAUGAGGUUACCAUACAAAAUUUGGAUCUUUACCCAGCUGAAGAUAAAACAUGUUUCCGUUUGAUAGAUCUAUCAUCACUUUGAAUAAAAGUAAUAACCCGAAUUGCUAAGAAUAAAAGUAAUAACAUUACAUUAUUUUCUUGGUAUUUUCUUGGUAUUUGCUUCUCAUAUAUUGCAGAUAAACGUGUGUUAAAACUGCUUUUAUGAAGGAGCUGAUACAAGUGAAACUGACAGAGAUGGAAAUACAGUCUUCAACUUGUACCUGAAAGCAAUUCCUUUUCAUUGUAAUCUAAGUAUUUGAUGAGAGGACUUUCAAGUAGACCAUAAUCAUGGCAUAUUUUGGGUUGCGAAAAAGGAGUUAAUUGAGUUACAUGUACCUAUGUUUGCAAGUUAUCACAAAAACAGAGAGAGCAUCAAACUGAUGCAAUCUUAGCACGAAUAUGGAGGUUUUUUGCUGAUUCUCUGUAUUUAUUUUACGUAACUUGUGCAAGAGGUGUCACGACAGCUUUAUCAAUAAGGAGGGUGAGCUAAGUCAUGGAUCGAUUGAACCCAAGUUGUGUCUCCUUUCAGAACCUUAACAGUCAAAUAUCAGAAGGCUUUAAUUGGAGGCCAAAUACUCUCUGUUGACUCAGGAAUGUGGAAGACAACAUAGCAAUCAACUCUAAAGCAGUCAACAAUUGCAAUCAAUUUCCAAGAGCAGACUUCAUGAGCACUAUAAUUCCUCAAUCUAAAGGGAUUAGCCACUUAUUGCUACUAAAAUUUUAGUACGGUACUUUAAACUUUUGAUGCUAAAGGAGUUCGAUAUCAAAAGUGUUGUCCGACAUUUAAUUGAAUUGAAGUUAUCCUAUUCUCUUA